GUUUUCGGCCUGAGUGAUCUCCGGCUUCACCUUGUUGGUGGGUAAGGCUCCCAAGGCACGCCCGCACCCGCCUGGAGGGGACGNCCCCCCGGGGCUGAGACACGCCCAAUCCCUACGGAGGCACCGUGGGGAAAAUGGGNAAUGAGGAAACUUGACCCACCACCCCCUUGCGCAUGAGGCCUUGGGUUUUAACCCCUUCUUAGGUAUUUAGCGCAAUAAGGUACCUCCGAAGAGGAGGAGGUACUAUUUCCACCGCGCGCUAAAAA
RNAcentral lists this ribosomal RNA (266 nucleotides) under uncultured bacterium. RNAcentral describes it as "partial 16S ribosomal RNA". The record is from RNAcentral.